RNAcentral lists this ribosomal RNA (253 nucleotides) under uncultured bacterium. RNAcentral describes it as "partial 16S ribosomal RNA". It matches the Rfam family "Bacterial small subunit ribosomal RNA", at positions 524 to 776 of the family's 1533-position model. The record is from RNAcentral.
UACGAAGGGGGCUAGCGUUGCUCGGAAUUACUGGGCGUAAAGGGAGCGUAGGCGGACAGUUUAGUCAGAGGUGAAAGCCCAGGGCUCAACCUUGGAAUUGCCUUUGAUACUGACUGUCUUGAGUAUGGGAGAGGUAUGCGGAACUCCGAGUGUAGAGGUGAAAUUCGUAGAUAUUCGGAAGAACACCAGCGGCGAAAGCGCGUAACUGGGCCUGAACUGACACUGAGGGACGAAAGCUAGGGGAGCGAAAGGG